GGCUAGAUAGCUCAGUUGGUAGAGCAAGGGACUGAAAAUCCCUGUGUCAGUGGUUCGAUUCCACUUCUAGCCACCA
This 76-nucleotide transfer RNA is filed under the name Alphaproteobacteria bacterium. RNAcentral's name for it is "tRNA-Phe". It matches the Rfam family "tRNA". Rfam says of the family: Transfer RNA (tRNA) molecules are approximately 80 nucleotides in length. Their secondary structure includes four short double-helical elements and three loops (D, anti-codon, and T loops). Further hydrogen bonds mediate the characteristic L-shaped molecular structure. tRNAs have two regions of fundamental functional importance: the anti-codon, which is responsible for specific mRNA codon recognition, and the 3' end, to which the tRNAs corresponding amino acid is attached (by aminoacyl-tRNA synthetases). tRNAs cope with the degeneracy of the genetic code in two manners: having more than one tRNA (with a specific anti-codon) for a particular amino acid; and 'wobble' base-pairing, i.e. permitting non-standard base-pairing at the 3rd anti-codon position. Lineage: Bacteria; Pseudomonadati; Pseudomonadota; Alphaproteobacteria. RNAcentral also lists the same sequence under 2 other names. The record is from RNAcentral.